GGCUGUUGCCCAUGGUGGCUAGUGAAGCAAAGCAAAUCUCAGAGCAGAGUGCAAGGCAGCGAACAACAGGUUUGGCUAGGAGUAGGGGGAAAGAGAGGGCACACUGGCACACAAGCACACUCAGACACUGUUGAACCACACACAGGCACACGCAGCGUGGGGAGAAAUGGCAGUGUUAAGAUCGGAAUUGCGGUUUACAUAGAGGGAGCUUAUUGUGUAUAGUGUUUACUUAACUAAAGUAAAAUUGGUUUUAUAAGGGUGUUUUAACUUGGAACUGUUUAAAUUGUAUUGUUUAUGGAUAAAUUCUGAUGUAUUGUUUUUGAUAUGGGCCAAUGGCCGUAAUAAAUCUAAAUCUGAAAUCUGGCAGUGUUAAGAGUGAAUGAUGAAAUAGCAAGGUUUGGAGGUGGCAGAAAGAGUGGCGUUAAGCAUUGUGGGGAAGAUACUUUUUCUGUGCUGCACUGCAAGUAUAGAAGUUAUUUUUUCCUAGCAUAAUCUAGAACCCAAAUUUUCUCUCUUCACGGUUCAUCAGCUAUAGACACAGAAAGCUACCUUAUACCAAGUUAAACCUUUGGUCCAUUUAAUCCAGUUUUGUCUACAAUGAGUGGCAGUGGCUCACUAAGGUUUCAGGCAGAGAGUCUAUCUCAGUAAUACUAGGAGAUUCCAGAAACUGAAUAUAGAACCUUCUGCAUGCAGAUCAUCUUUUGUUCUGGCUUUCUUCAUUAUCAUUUCCUCAACAGAUAUUAGGUUAAAUAUAUCAUAAAAUGGAAAUCUACUGGGAAAGGUCCAUUGAUGGCUGUUACUCAUGAUGGUUAAAUGGAAUCUCCAUAUUCAGCAGCAAGAUAUCAUUUCAUAUCAGUAGAUGGGGACCAAUUGUGGGAGAUGGCUGUUGACUUUAAGCUCUGCUUGUGAGUUUCUCAAUAGCAGCUGUCUGGUCACUGAGAAACAGGUUGCAGUGCCCCUUUUAUGUUCUAAUUGGGUAGAAUCCAGUUGGUGCCCUUGUGCCCACAGAAGAGCUUUUGAUUCAGCCUGUCUCUGCUAAAAGAAGAGAAGGGUAGUGAUUUGUUUUUUUAAAUAAAGCUAUACAGAACAUGAACAAAUCCUUGAUCAUGGUCUAUCCAAAGGCUGUGACACAGAAAAAAUAUUUCUCAUGCAGACUACAGAGGAGUGACUGUAGAUAUAGUUAGAGUCAAACUAUUGAAAACUCAGCUUAGACAGGGAAGUGACUUCUGCUUCCUGAAAAUUUUACUAAACUUUUUGCCUUGGACUAUAAUAACCAAAAGUAGGCAUCAGGAAACAAAGGCAAUAAAAGCAAUAAGUAUCUGGGCACUCAGUCUGACUUAUCUGCUAUUAAUAAAUCUCUUCAUUUGAAAUAUUUGCAGACUGUACUCUGUAGAAAAACAACAAUGUUCCUGGAAACUCUCCUGUAGGUCUUAGAGUUAGCAGUCAAUAUCAAAGAGGCAUGCCACUGUUUUUCCUACUGUGGGUCAGGUUUUUCUGGAAAGCGGAGCCUUCACCAAUUAGGGAUCACUUAAUGACCUCAGUUUCCAUCAAACUAAGACAUGGCAUUCUUCCACAAAACAACGAAGGAAUGUUCCCUGUCCCUUCCUCACCCACAGCCACCCCCAAUCCUGGAAAAGCAUCUCUGGAGGGUUGUAGGGCCUUCAUGAAGAAGAUGGGAUGGGGCAUGAGGGAUUGUAAGGGUAAGAGAGGAUGGGGAAACGGUCCUCCCAUGAACUUUCAUAAGUUGCUGUUCCAAGAUCCAAGCCUAAUAUAUUAAUUAUGCCAUAAGCUUUCAUGGACUCAGGUCUAUGCCAUAACAACAUACCCUCCAACAUUUCUCAAAUGAAAAUAGGGACAUCCUGUUCCAUAAUGAUGAUUUAACUAUUUAUACCCCACACAUCUUCCUGGGUUGCCCCAGCCACUCUGGGUAGCUUCCAAUAUAUAUAAAAACAUAAUAGAACGUUAAACUUUUUUAAAAAAACACACACAACAAAACUUCCCUAUACAGGAUUGCCUCCAGACAGCUCGGGGGUCAGAUAACACCAUACCCUCCAACAUUUCUCCAAUGAAAGUAGGGACAUCCUAAGGAAAAGUGGGACAUUCUGGGAUCAGAUCAGAAACCGGGACGGCUUAUCUAAAUCAGAGACAUCCCUGGAAAAUAGGGACACUUGGAGGGUCUGUAACAAAUGUCUUAGUCUUUCGAGUGCUGCAGUGUUUUUAAUCUUUUAUACUCCAAAUUACUGAUCCACCCCCACCCCCCAUAUAUCAAUAGUUAGGGAGAGGAUCCUGUGUAUAGCACAGUCAGUAGAGCAUGAGAUUCUUUAUCUCAGGGCUGUGAGUUUGAGCCCCACAUUGGGCAAAAGAUCCCUGCAUUGCAGGGGUUGACUAAAUGACUCUCUACAAUUCUGUGAUUCUAUGAUUUAUAUCCCAUCCCUUAAAAUUAUCAUGGCCAAAUUGGGGAAUAGCACUAAAGCCCAAUUCAGAUGAAAAAAACAUAUCCAGCUUACCAUUUUAAGCCAAAUCAGAACUAUGCUCAUAAAGAACUAGUAAUUUAAAAAUAAAUAAAAACAACACUAAUUGUCUUGGAUGGGCAGGUUGAAAUUUGCAGUAACACAGUCAGAUCGUUCUCAGGUGGGCUGAGUGAUGGCGUGCCAGAUUGCAGUUUGUGCUUGUGUCAAACAGAGCAGAUGAUGAGCUUCCCGUGAGGUCAUUUCUAUCUGGGCUUUUUCAAAAGCAGCCUGCUUCUCAGUCUCCUGCAAAGUGGUAUAGAGACUGGCUCUGAGCCUCAGGCUAAACAAUGCUGCACAGCUGACAUAUUAGCUGACAUAUCAUACUUCUGUUAAUGCAACCCAAAUAUGGGUUUUUAAGGUCAGUGACAUCACAUUGUUUACUAAUAGAUGACCAUGAUCCAAUAUAACUCCACUGUCUCUCUCAGCAGUUACAGAGCCAAGCCAGAAUUCCCCUUUUUGUAUUUAGAGGGUUUUCCCCUUUCUCAUAUUAAUAUAUAUAUAUAUAUGGACUUUAUUUUAUCCCUUUAGGGUCCACUGUUGCCGCUCAGCUUCAGUCUUGCCAAUAUGAACUUGUGUGGUUUCUUCUUUUCACGUAUGUUUAACUUCAACACAUAUUUAAUGAGCAUAUUCUUUAUUGUUCCAUCCAAGUCACGAACAGAGCAACCCAACACAUACUAGUUAGAGGCACAGAUGGAGGAGAAAUCUGGUUUCAUCCACAUAUUGAUUGAAUCUACCUAAUUCACACUUCCCCAAACAAUCUACAAACUGAAAUGCUUUGAUAUUCACACUUCUCCAAAUUAUGUGAUGCAGUUUAACAACCCAAUCAGUGGUUAUAUUAGGGGGAAGACUGCAUAAGAAUGCAGAUUUUAGUGAAAUGGCAUACACAAAUGCAUUAUAUUAGGUAAACUAGUAAAGGUAAAGGGACCCCUGACCAUUAGGUCCAGUCGUGGCCGACUCUGGGGUUGCAGCGCUCAUCUUGCUUUAUUGGCCGAGGGAGCCGGCGUACAGCUGGUCAUGUGGCCAGCAUGACUAAGCCGCUUCUGGUGAAACAGAGCAGCGCACGGAAACGCCAUUUAUCUUUCAGGCUGAGGGAGCCAGCAUUUGUCCACAGACAGCUUUCCGGGUCAUGUGGCCAGCAUGACUAAACUGCUUCUGGCGCAACAGGACACCUGGACAGAAACCAGAGCGCAUGGAAGUGCCAUUUACCUUCCUGCCACAGCGAUACCUAUUUAUCUACUUGCACUGGUAUGCUUUCGAAGUGCUAGGCUGGCAAGAGCUGGGACCGAACAACGGGAGCUCAUCCCGUUGUGGGGGUUCGAACCGCUGACCUUCUGAUCAGCAAGCCCAAGAGGCUCAGUAGUUUAGACCACAGUGCCACCCGCAUCCCAUGGCACAGCAGAUGCAGCUGAGUAAAAGUAGUCAUCAACUCAUAGAAAUGUUGGGGGUUCUUGCGACAGCUGCUACCUGAAUACGUCAGAGUAAAGGCAGAUCUAGCAGCAGCACUAAACUAUAUGCCUGGCCCUUCUUGCUAAUAUAGGGUUGCAGCCAAAUUCCCAUGUAGAUACAGUGGUACCUAAGGUUAAGUACUUAAUUCGUUCCAGAGGUCUGUUCUUAACCUGAAGCACCACUUUAGCUAAUGGGACCUCCCGCUGCUGCUGCGCCGCCGGAGCACAAUUUCUAUUCUCAUCCUGAAGCAAAGUUCUUAACCCGAGGUCUGUAACCUGAAGCAAAUGUAACCUGAAGCGCAUGUAACCCGAGGUACCACUGUAUUCUAACCUUCAACAUAAGAAUCAAGAGAUUUAAAGCUGAAAAGAUGUAAAUAUUUUGUAAUGCAGCAAUGGUGUUUGCAAAAUGAGAUAACUCUCUCUUAAAAAUGUGAAAACAGGAUAAAAUAUUUGCAGUAACUACGUUUCUGGAUUGAUGCCAUUUCUAUAGUUCAAGCUCUGCUUGGCCUCUUGCCACCUCAACAAAUGCUAGAGAACUCCCUUUCGCCAGCAGGGAAUCAAUGGAUUUCUGCCACUUCUCCUAUAUGGGUUUGGGUGCUUACACUGUGAGCUGGCCCAGCAUUUAAACUCCAAAGCAUGCUGAGCCUUCAGAUUUGGGUCUUGGCAGUAGCAAUAACAAGAGUUAUUGUCAAUUGUUUCUCAAACAUGUAGAUUUGUUUCUGAAAUUUGAUCUGAAUUUCCCAAGACAUUUCCUAUGUUUACAAGUCAUCCUCAGUUUUCCGUCAAACUCAUAUAGUUCCAAAGCAUGCUUCACUUUUAAUUUAACUUUGGAGCUCAAGCGAUAUGCACAUACUCUUGCCAUUACCAUCACAACACACUGGGGACCAAAAUAAAUGUGGAAAGGGAUAUUGGCUCUGAAACCAAGGAGGAAUAUCACAUGGCUGGGAUAAACGAAAGCUACAAGUUUAUUGAAUGCAAAGAUUUUGCAACUGCCGGUUGCUUCUCCCUCCUUCCCCUCACCUUUCUAUAGGCAGCUAUGUCCUCCUGGUUAAGGACAGAAAUAGCAGCUAUCCUUACCAGCUGAGCUACUUGGGUUGCUCCACACUUGCUCAGAGUCUUGAGUCCUGCUCUUCAUUCCUUCCAGUGCUCUAGUAAGCCCUUCUCUUCCAACCAGCGGUGCCAACUAUAGGGGACGGAAGGGGCUUUGGCCUCCUCAAUUUUUCUGGGCAGGGGGCCAAGCCCCCCUAAUAUUGAGGGGGUCACCCCCACCCCCAAGCAAGCUCUGGCACAGCAGGCAGGGGCAGGACACAUGGAGGGUGAUUUUCACCCUCUGUGCUCCCUGUCCACGGCCAACGGGAGAGCACUGGCCUGUUGGGUGGGGGUGGGAUGGGUCACAGGGCACCCUCAAUGUGGGAGGCAAGUCAGCACCCCUGCUUCCAGCAUAGUUUAAGGACUGCAUGGGAUUGAACAUUGUAUGAAUAGUCUUAGGAGAUGGCCAUGGUCAGUUUAUGAGCACACUCAGUUUCUGAAAACCAGUGUGGCAUAGGAGUUUGCAGCAUGUGAAAAAUGGAAAUGGAAGGAGUCAAGUAGCAUUCAUGGCUAAGAUUAGGUGUUACAAAUAUUAUUUAUUUAUUUAAUUUGUAUACCGCUCUUUGUCCACAGAUCUCAGGGGGGUUCACAGCAUAAAAAUACAGUAUAAAAACAGAAACACAUGUGUCCCUAUUUUCCUUUGUGAAAUGUUUUGGAGUCUGCAGUUUAUAUUUUAUACACACAUGCGCGCGCACACAUACACACACAUUUAUCUCCAAAUGCACGAACAAGGGAGGAGGAAAGAGCUUCUAUAAUAAUAUAAUUUUAAAGUUGGACCUUGGAGGUCAUUUGGUCCAACUCCUUGAUGAAUUAUGGCACUCUUGUUUUGCCUACUUUACAGGAAGGUGUCCUCUUUUGUAAAAGACUGUCCAAAGACAGUGUUCUGUUUGAAAGUGUUUCAUUCCAAGUCUAAUUUAAGAUAAAGAACUGCAAGAGAGCAGGGACCUUGAAGUUGUCCAUCAGUGGUUAGCAUCUGGGCCACAGACUGAGCAGGCGCAGAAGUCAGUUGGUCACAUUCUUUACCAUGAUGGUGAUAUGCACUGUAUUUCUAUUUAAAUUAUAUCAAGCCCUCUAAGAAUCCCUUGCAUGUGAGCACUGAUGCUUGUACUCUCUGUGUUAAAGAAACAUGCUCACAUAGGUCUUACAGUGAGAAUGUUGUGGAUUUCCCAUCACUUGCAAUGUGUCUCAAGGCUCCUCAGUGUUCUGAAGUUAAUUAAUUAAAAAAUUACAUCUUCUCCAUUUUAUUCCAGCUGGCAGCAUCAAGAAAUAAACCAUGUUCCUCAGAGUGCAACUGGAGCAGCUGUCAGCUGAUCUCAAAUAUGUGAAUAAGGCAAAGAGCAUGCAAGCACUGUAUACUUAUUAUAAUGGGCUGGCAACUUUUCAAAAAAUAAAUAAAUGAAUCCAC
This 6449-nucleotide long non-coding RNA is filed under the name Podarcis lilfordi (Lilford's wall lizard). Lineage: Eukaryota; Metazoa; Chordata; Lepidosauria; Squamata; Lacertidae. The record is from RNAcentral.